GCAGCCCUACGAGGCGGUGGAUUUCUCUCUCACGGUCAUGGAUUCUUCCCUUACUCUUCCUGUACUCCUUCUCUGUGCUCAUCGUUUGAUUCGAUCUGUUGUGGUUGUGUUUGUUGUUGGGGGAUCGAGGCGGUCGGCCGGGGGCGAGAUUAGGGUUGACAGAAGAGAGUGAGCACACGGCGGGGAGGGCAUCGGUGGCGGUGCCGUCGCUGCGGCGUGCUCACUCCUCUCUCUGUCAUCUCCAUCUCCCUGUGCGGGCCGCGGAAACUAAUCAAGGAUGCGUCUUUGUUUACCCCUCUUCGGAUCGGUGAAGCAGCGGGGAGGAAGUGGGAAAGAGCAGGGUGCAGGGCAUCAUCUCGAUGCGAUGGAAAUGCGUGCAGUUGUGCUUAUCUCAUGUCGGCCACUGUUGAUCUGAAGAGGAGGCUGGUCUCUGGAUUGGUUUCCGAGAAUAUUUCUCAUGGAUUGGAGUUGGACGCGUACGUGACUUUUGAGACGAAGGUACUUUGCGUUGGGGAACGGAAUUGGAUGGUAGAAGACGGGGAGUCAAGUUGAGUGAGAUCUGUCGAGAGCAAGUGCACGGUAGCUUGGACUGUGUUCAUUCUCCCAGAACAAGUUUGGUGGAAAGCUUCUAUCGCUUAAGUGACCAAAAUAUGGAGGAAGACAUACUUGAAUACGUCGAGUUUCGACCUCAUAAUCUAAUAUGGCAAAAUCAGUGAACAAAUGGGGAUAGAAGUGUUGGGAGUAAUAGACAGAUUAUAGUCCAAACAAUUGAGAGCUCUGUGCAAGUCAAUAGAAACAUGCUGCAUCAUCCCCACAAUUAAUGGAAAACAUAAAGUGGACCAGGAGUAUGUAUGACACCCUUCUUAGCACAGUUGUGGCAUACAAUAUGUUUUUGUUAAUCCAAGCUUAAAUUUUUGCACCCAAAUUUAUUAACUAAAGUAUGGACUGCCUGUGUAUUGUGACCAGUGAAUGCAAAUUAACUCGGAGGAAGAAUUGAAAAGGUUUCAAUAUUUUUGAUAGCAAGUGCUUGUCAUUAUGGUCUUCUUUGAUGCUCUCUUAACAAUAGAGACAGGGAUGAUUCCCAAGGUCACACGAGUGGAGUUAGUUUAUGAAAUAGGAAAGAUAGUACUACCUUUUCUGCUCUGAUAUUAUUUCCAACUUUUGCUACCUCCUUUUCUGCUCUGAUAUUAUUUCCAACUUUUGUCCAGCUCACGUACUAUUCAUGUUUUAUUAGAAGAGAAGGUACCUGUAGUACAUGGAUGUAGCUCACGCACUAUUCAUGUUUUAUUAGGCGAGAUGGUUCGUGUAGUACAUCUAUUUUAUAUAUGUGAAAAGAUACAGUUGAGAUGAAUCCUUAUGUAUUCUUUUUUGUUCACAAAGGACAAUUGCUGGCAAAUUUUUCGGGCCAGUUGUCACUGUCAACAAGCUUUCUGAGCAAGUGAUUAAUGAAGUUA
Molecule: long non-coding RNA, 1454 nt
Organism: Zingiber officinale
Lineage: Eukaryota; Viridiplantae; Streptophyta; Magnoliopsida; Zingiberales; Zingiberaceae
Exons: 4
Source: RefSeq, a predicted model, not a curated record